This is a long non-coding RNA of Lathyrus oleraceus (garden pea), 643 nucleotides long. RefSeq lists it as uncharacterized. NCBI's taxonomy places the organism in Eukaryota, Viridiplantae, Streptophyta, Magnoliopsida, Fabales, Fabaceae. The record is from RefSeq and is a predicted model, not a curated record. The transcript has 3 exons.
CCUGGACAAGGGAAGUAUGAUGAGUGAUUGCAGUGCCUUGAUUUGCAGCAUGAAAGAGAGCUUGAGAUGCAGAGAAAUUGGGAACUUUGUAGAAGUUGCAGAAUGAAACAGAGUGGAGCUUGAAGUGAAGAAGUUCAUAAUGAAGCAGAGUGAAGCUUGAGGUGAAGAAUCUCUGCAGAAUGAAGAUUGUGAAAUGUUAUAUAAAGGAUGAGUGUGUAACCAACUCCGGAAGGCUUUGGGAAAUUCUGUUAGAGGUGUUAGGUCAGUUAGAAAUCACAUGGUAUUUCUAUGGAAGGAAAAGCAACUUGGCCUAGAGGGAAAUGGUGACAUGAAGCAUGAAGAUGGUGGAUGAAGAAGUAUGGUUGAAGGUGUUAACAUGGUUUAAAGCAAUCCUCAAGGCAUGGCAAGUUUCACACAAAAAUGAGGUUUCUCAUUCAUGAAGUCAAUGAUCAUGGAAUGCAAGGAUGAUAAAGAUGUAAUGAGUUUUUGGGGAUGGAAAAUAUGUUAGCCGAUUUUGGUCAACUGGUUGACUAAAAAGUCAACAGUUGACCAAAAGUCAACUUUCAUAAAACUUGUAUUUUUUUUAUUUUCUUUUGUAAAUGAUGUAAAUGCUAAUUGUAUGAAUGAAUGAACAUUGAUUUUA